UGGCUUCUGGAGUCUUCUAGAUGAUAGGAAUUUUCGUGGCACGUUAAUAUCUCUAUGUAAACCCGACGUGUGGGCCUUUUCUCCGUAAUUCUUGAUAACCCCUACAGAAAUAAACAAACACCAAAACUCGUGGAAUUCUGUCAGAUAAACCGUAAGUCUGGGUGUUAGUUGCAUUUAGAUCCUUUUCCAUGAUUAGUUGAUGGUUAAAUGUGAGCAUUUAGGACCGUCAACAAACUCCCCCAAGCUUAACCUUUGCUCGUCCCUGAGCAAAGAUGGACUCAAGAGUUUCUGUAGUGGUUUCAUGCCUUAAAGGUACACAUGCGUUCAAACAAGAUCUCAUCUCUGGGUUAGGGUAAACUGUUAAGAUUUAAACUUACUCAUUUUACCUUCCAUGUGAGAGCUUAUAAUGAGGGUUCAUAGCAAACUUUAUUUAUUUAUUUAUUUAGCAAACUAAGCAAAGAUAUAUAUAAGCACAAAAUCUUUAUUUGGGUUUUUAUGAUUAUGCAACUUUUUAUUAUUUGAGUAAAGUAUAAACGUGAGUAGAACACUUAGCUGGAUAAAUGGGGGUGCUCUCCCCCAAGCUGGAUUUUGACGUAAUUUCUUGUGAUGUAGCUAGCAGGUGGCAGAGGUGUAUUUAAAUGUCGGCAGCACCCUGACAGCGACUAGGAUGUCCUCCCUCUGCUAGUCUUCUUUGAUCCUUGAAUUCUGUGAAGCUCAAAUAGACAACAAAGCUUUGUGGAACUAGUCAAGUGUUAGCAUAAGUAUCUACCCGUUAUCAUGUUGAGCCUCCUCAAUAAAUGUUACUCUCUUUAGUAGGAUCACAGAUUUAUUUUUAUAUUUUCAUUUUUAUAGGAUAGGAAUAUAUUUAUUUUAUUUUUACGCCACCACAGGGAAUGUACUUAUGGGUUUUAUGCCACGAGCAUAUUCACAUGGGGCUUACUAUUUUUAACAUUUUUAUUUUCUUUUCAAGAUGAUAUGAACCUGAUUAACUAAGCAAACUAUUUUAAAUAAUUGAAAGGAAAAGGAUAACUACCAAGUUUACCUCUUGGCAAGGCGAUCGGGGUUUUUAAGUCCUCCGAACGGGACUCUCUGUUUUCUCAGUCGUCCUGGGAUUCGCUGGAUGGCGUAGCCGGUGGUUCCGGCGGCGCCUCCUCUUCGUGUAUAACUAUCUUCUCUCUCCACACCUGACUCGGUGCUAUGGUCUCCUCAGGAUAGUUCUGUUCAAGCUGUAUGUCUUCAGACCUUACCACUUCUUCUUUGUAGUCUACCCAUCCGUCCUUGAUGAUUUGCCUUCUCUGGUUGUGGUUGCGUCGUCUUCUUCUUGUCCUGACGUGCUUAGAGUCUUAAACUAUACAGUUAAGGUGAGUAAAAUAGCGGCGUACCUUCUCAGAGGGGAAGUGCAUGUGGACCUCUCCGGUUCCAAUGUAGAUGAUUGCUUUAACGGUGCUGAGGAACGGUCUCUCAAUGAUGAUGGGUGGAUCGUACUCGUCUUCUCCCAUGUCAAUAACCUUCAACCUUUCAGAAUGUUUGAUCUGCCAUCUGGAGCUGGGUCGUCCUUUUUGGUCAGGAACGGUGACUUAAAUCGACGAUCUUGACCUCCUUGAACUACAGUGACUAUCUUACCUGACUUGGUCCACAUUUGCUUAUUCCUGUUCCUCCUGUUGGUUCUCUUCCUUGGUUCAUGUUGGGAUUGCUUUGGGAUUUGUGUAGUCUUGUUCUUGAAGGAAAAUGUCUCCUUCCUCCCUUUGAUGUAGAAACUGAUCUUGGCAGCACUAGCAUAGAUGACAGCUCCCGAGGUGUUCAGGAAUGGCCUCCCUAAGAUGACGGGUGCAGUCUCAUCACUAGCAGUCUCUAUCACCACGAUGUCUGCUGGAGCGUAUAUGGUACCAACUCGGACGUAUAGGUUCUUCAAUAUUCCCUUUGGGAAACUUAGUGUCCGAUCUUGUGGCAGAACCUCCUGAAUUAAGUGGCCCACAUGCACCCAUCAUUGUCUCAAAGACUUCUGAUCGGCCUGCAUGAGUUCCAAAUGACUCAAUAAAUCUGUCGGGUGUCCUUGGGAAACCCGAACCAUCCACGUUACAUUCUUUCUAGGAAUUCCCUCAUUAAGCAUCACAGUAUUACAACAUUUUCAUAGAUAAGAUAAAUCAGAGUAAAAGCGGAAAGGUUAUAUAACAUAGAUUGAAACUUAAGUUCAAAGGUUACAAACCAUAAGUAUUUAGUACAUAAAA
RNAcentral lists this long non-coding RNA (2228 nucleotides) under Sorghum bicolor (sorghum). RNAcentral describes it as "long non-coding RNA (SBIC_LNC006530)". Lineage: Eukaryota; Viridiplantae; Streptophyta; Magnoliopsida; Poales; Poaceae. The record is from RNAcentral.